GUAAUCAUAUGCUUGUCUCAAAGAUUAAGCCAUGCAUGUCUAAGUACAUGCCGAAAUAAGGCGAAACCGCGAAUGGCUCAUUAAAUCAGUUAUGGUUCCUUAGAUCGUUUCUUCCUACUUGGAUAACUGUGGCAAUUCUAGAGCUAAUACAUGCAGUGAGCCUGGAGCCCUUUGGGUAACGGGUGCUUUUAUUAGACCAAGAUCGAUCGGGUUUCGGCCCGUAUUGUGUGGUGACUCUGGAUAACUUUGUGCUGAUCGCAUGGCCACGAGCCGGCGACGUUUCUUUCAAGUGUCUGCCUUAUCAACUUUCGAUGGUAGGUUACUUGCUUACCAUGGUUGUUACGGGUAACGGAGAAUCAGGGUUCGAUUCCGGAGAGGGAGCCUGAGAAACGGCUACCACAUCCAAGGAAGGCAGCAGGCGCGCAAAUUACCCACUCCCGGCACGGGGAGGUAGUGACGAAAAAUAACAAUACGGGACUCUUUUGAGGCCCCGUAAUUGAAAUGAGUACACUCUAAAUCCUUUAACGAGGAUCAAUUGGAGGGCAAGUCUGGUGCCAGCAGCCGCGGUAAUUCCAGCUCCAAUAGCGUAUACUAAAGCUGCUGCGGUUAAAAAGCUCGUAGUUGGAUCUCAGUUCCAGACGAGUAGUGCAUCUACCCGAUGCGACGGCUCGCACUGAACAUCAUGCCGGUUCUUUCUUGGUGCACUUCAUUGUGUGCCUCGAGAUGGCCGGUGCUUUUACUUUGAAAAAAUUAGAGUGCUCAACGCAGGCGAGUCGCCUGAAUAAACUUGCAUGGAAUAAUAGAACAAGACCUCGUUUCUGUUCUGUUGGUUUUUGGAAUACGAGGUAAUGAUUAAGAGGGACGGACGGGGGCAUUCGUAUUGCGGCGCUAGAGGUGAAAUUCUUGGACCGUCGCAAGACGAACUACUGCGAAAGCAUUUGCCAAGAAUGUUUUCAUUGAUCAAGAACGAAAGUCAGAGGUUCGAAGGCGAUCAGAUACCGCCCUAGUUCUGACCAUAAACGAUGCCAACCAGCGAUCCGCCUGAGUUACUCAAAUGACUCGGCGGGCAGCUUCCGGGAAACCAAAGUAUUUGGGUUCCGGGGGAAGUAUGGUUGCAAAGCUGAAACUUAAAGGAAUUGACGGAAGGGCACCACCAGGAGUGGAGCCUGCGGCUUAAUUUGACUCAACACGGGAAAACUUACCCGGCCCGGACACUGGGAGGAUUGACAGAUUGAGAGCUCUUUCUUGAUUCGGUGGAUGGUGGUGCAUGGCCGUUCUUAGUUGGUGGAGCGAUUUGUCUGGUUAAUUCCGAUAACGAACGAGACUCUAGCCUAUUAAAUAGGUGCGGGGUUCCCAGCACCUUACAACCUUCUUAGAGGGACAAGCGGCUCCUAGCCGCACGAAACAGAGCAAUAACAGGUCUGUGAUGCCCUUAGAUGUCCGGGGCCGCACGCGCGCUACACUGAAGGAAGCAGCGUGUCUUUAUCCCUGUCUGAAAAGACUGGGUAACCCGUGGAACUUCUUUCGUGAUUGGGAUAGGGGCUUGCAAUUGUUCCCCUUGAACGAGGAAUUCCCAGUAAGCGCGAGUCAUAAGCUCGCGUUGAUUACGUCCCUGCCCUUUGUACACACCGCCCGUCGCUACUACCGAUUGAAUGAUUUAGUGAGGUCUUCGGACCGAUGUCCGGCGCGGCCUUUCGGUUGCGCCGGUCUGUUGGAAAGAUGACCAAACUUGAUCAUUUAGAGGAAGUAAAAGUCGUAACAAGGUUUCCGUAGGUGAACCUGCGGAAGGAUCAUUA
RNAcentral lists this ribosomal RNA (1796 nucleotides) under Rhipicephalus evertsi. Its description in RNAcentral is "SSU rRNA". It matches the Rfam family "Eukaryotic small subunit ribosomal RNA". Lineage: Eukaryota; Metazoa; Arthropoda; Arachnida; Ixodida; Ixodidae. The record is from RNAcentral.